This 2921-nucleotide long non-coding RNA is filed under the name Salvia miltiorrhiza (redroot sage). Its description in RNAcentral is "long non-coding RNA (SMIL_LNC007076)". The record is from RNAcentral. Lineage: Eukaryota; Viridiplantae; Streptophyta; Magnoliopsida; Lamiales; Lamiaceae.
CCAAAAAUACAUAAAUUAAUAAUAAAAAUUUAUACAUUAGUAUCAAACAUCAUCAUCCUACAUCCAUUAGUAUCAAACAUCAUCAUCCUAUAUUACAUUGAAACAUAAGUAUAACUUUUUUGAUCAAAUCUUUUCGCAAUACUAUCUGGAGCUGUAGAUCCUCUAUGGGCAACUUUCUUAACCAGCUUCAUGACAAUACUAUUAUGAAUAUCUGCAAAUUGUCCUUGGAAGUAUAUGGCUGCUUGGCGCCAGGUUCUUCACCUCCUUCAAGAGUUCCAUUUACAGGUCUCUCAUAUCUUCCGUGAGGGCAAUUGCGCUGCUGACAUUAUGGCUAAUAACAGCCGGGAGGAAGGCUGGUGGCCUUACGAAAUUGAUGUUAUUAAGGAUGCGGUUCGUCGGGAUAUGUCUACUCAUAGUCAUCUUCGCAUUAAGAAUUAGUUUUCUCGAUGCCUUUUUCUGUUUGGUUAACAACUGGAGCGCUUUUUCUGUUUGGGUUCUUUCUGCUGUUUGGGUUUUUCUUUCUGGCAUUUCUUCGAGCAUGUUGUAUGCUGGGUUUUGGAGCAGGUGCUCUUUCGGGUUGUGGAGGUUUGGGGCGGCGGGUCAGUCUUUUUUCAAUCCCUGGGUGCGCUCGGGAUUGAGGCUGAUCCAUGCUCGUUCCGUUGGUUGCUCUGCGAUGAAUGUUUUGCUUCAUCGGUGGAGUUCUUUAUCGGACAACGAGAACUGGUCAGUGAUGCGUUGGUUCCGGCUCUUUUAUGAGCUUUUUUUCUUUGGCUUUGCUGCCGUUCGGAUUUGGACGUCGGUUUCUCGCUUCUGCUUUGCCGUUUGUAAUUUUGCUGUUGCUGAUAACGGCUGCUUGGUCUAUCUUCCGAUCGAUCCAAGCGGAGAAAGAUUAGAUUGUAAGUGCUGUUCGGUUUUCCUUUCUUCGAACACUUGGACUGCGCCGAGCCAGGGUUUGUGUCUGGAAUAUGUUGGUGGCGUGUGGAGUUUAUGGGCGACCAUUCAUGCUUUUUUCAAUCUUCGGGUGCGCUCGGGAUUGAGCUUGAUUUGGGUUUGCCAUGCUGGUGAUCCCACGAUGGAGGUUCUCACUCUUCAUCGGUGGGGAAUUUCUUCGGACAACGAGCUUUGGUCGGUGAUGCGUUGGUUCCGGCUCUUUUAAGAGCAUAGUUUUCAAAUUCGUUUUUUUAGCUAUUAUGGAUUUGGCCCUCUUUAAGGAUGAUUCUGAUCGAUCGUUAGGUGGCUGUUUGGAGUGGUUGGUCUUUGUGCGUUUGUUUCUUCCCGGGCUUUUAGUUUGUACUCUUGCUUCGUUUUUUGUCGGGCACGGGUUUGUUGAUGUUUUUUGUUUUUACUGCGUUCGUAAGCCGGGAUUAUUUAGGGGUGAUGGUGAGGCCGGAACUUCUGAAAUAAUUCUAACUCCGCUUAUGAACGCCGGGUCCUUUAGACGAGUACUCUUUUUCCUCUUUAAGGUUUCCCUCGUUGGGUUUUACUUAAAGAGGUUUUAAUGAGGCUCGGCCCUUAGUCUGCUCUCUUGUGCUUUCAAGGGUUCUUUCUAGGUCUUUUUUCUCUUUUCUUUUUUAAUAAAAAUCUAAUUUAAUAAUGAAUAUCUGCAAAUUGAGAGGAAAAAUUAGACAAAAAUAUUAUAUUCAAACAUCUCAGUUGCUUCACCAAAAAAUUUAAGAAACUUAUAAGAGAUGCUUAUCAAAAAUCUACACUGAAGAUAACAGAUAGCAAUUUGUCAAGAAUGUAGAUAGCAACAUGAAGUGACUUAUCGUUGUACAAAACCACCCUUAUCCCAUAAUUAGAAUCCAUUAGCUUAUUGAACGAGUUCAUGAAAGGUUACCUUGACUAAGCUGAACAACCACAAAUUUGUCUAUUCAUAAUUCUACAAAUCAAUUCUAGCUCAAGCUAGCCAACUAAUCAUCACACAAGAUUCUAGUCAACUCUACAAUUCUUCAUGAUCUUACGUAUCAUAAACUAGCAUAAUUUACUCCAGGAUUGAUAAGCAUUUUGUAUUUUUUUUCUUCAACUUAUAGUUACCUGAUUGUUGCUGAAUACAUUCAGCAUCAACGUCAUCAAGGUUUACAUCCUCAUCCUGUUCACAAUGAGGUGCCUUAUAAUCUUGAAUUUUGCAAGUGCAAUACUUGAUAGGAUCUGCACGUAAACCCAAUAAAUAUGCUAACCACCUUUUUUGACACUCAAACAUAGGCGAUGGGUUUAUUCCCUGCAACCAAUGAAACUAUUUUUCAAAUUUAGUUAUAAUAUAACUCUAUUUAAUGAACUAACUCUGUUUUCACUAAUUAAGAAGGUGAAUAGUCCCUCAUAAUACAAUGAAUAUUUAUUUAGUAACGGAUAUCAGAGACUCAAUAAUAUAUAUCCACACAUAUUGUACUAUGUUCACUUCAGAUAUGAAACAUGAAAGUUUAAUGUAUAUAUAUCUAUCUAUCAAUCUUAUAAACUAAUUAUGGCUUAACUUUAGAGUGUCUUGUGCUAUUAACCUCUGGCUUUCAUUUUCUGAUAGGUUAGGUGAUCACAAGUUGGCAGGAAAAAAUGCAUGGUACCUCAGAAGUACUAUAACCAAAUUAGAAUAACUCAUAUUCAUGACUACUAUAACCACAACAAGUUAAUCAAAUCACAAAUUUAGAAAGCAUAGGAAUCAAUUCAAUUCACAACGAUAAAUUCAUGAAAUUUUAAAGAAAACAUUGCAACAAUAAAUUCAUGAAAAGAUCGCAAUAUUGGUGAUUCAAACGAUCACCACUGCCUAAUCCCAUCAUCAGAUCAGCACAUUUGCAUUAGAUCACAUUAAUCUACCCAAAUUUGCAACUCAAAUGCAAAUGUAGACAUUUCCAUGAGUGCUGAUGCUACUCACAAAGCUAUCAACUGUAGAUCUUGAAGUAACACAGCAGCCAAUAAACCUUAAACUGAUG